Molecule: ribosomal RNA, 885 nt
Filed under: Actinomycetes bacterium
Lineage: Bacteria; Bacillati; Actinomycetota; Actinomycetes
Description: Actinobacteria bacterium partial 16S ribosomal RNA
Rfam family: Bacterial small subunit ribosomal RNA
Source: RNAcentral
UUCCCCCCSUAWRARRKUUUKKGWWUAUGGCUCAGAUUGAAACGCKAGCGRGAUGCCUUACACAUGCAAGUCGAACGGCAGCACGGWCUUCGGUCUGGUGGCGAGUGGCGARCGGGUGAGUAAUGUAUCGGAAYGUGCCCAGUAGCGGGGGAUAACUACGYGAAAGCGUAGCUAAUACCGCAUACGCCCUACGGGGGAAAGCAGGGGAUCGCAAGACCUUGCACUAUUGGAGCGGCCGAUAUCGGAUUAGMUAGUUGGUGGGGUAACGGCUCACCAAGGCGACGAUCCGUAGCUGGUUUGAGAGGRCGACCAGCCACASUGGGASUGAGACACGGCCCAGACUCCUACGGGAGGCAGCAGUGGGGAAUUUUGGACAAUGGGGGAAACCCUGAUCCAGCCAUCCCGCGUGUGCGAUGAAGGCCUUCGGGUUGUAAAGCMCUUUUGGCAGGAAAGAWACGUCGSGGGUUAAUACCCCGCGGAACUGRCGGUACCUGCAGAAUAAGCACCGGCUAACUACGUGCCAGCAGCCGCGGUAAUACGUAGGGUGCAAGCGUUAAUCGGAAUUACUGGGCGUAAAGCGUGCGCAGGCGGUUCGGAAAGAAAGAUGUGAAAUCCCAGAGCUUAACUUUGGAACUGCAUUUUUAACUACCGAGCUAGAGUGUGUCAGAGGGAGGUGGAAUUCCGCGUGUAGCAGUGAAAUGCGUAGAUAUGCGGAGGAACACCGAUGGMGAAGGCAGCCUCCUGGGAUAACACUGACGCUCAUGCACGAAAGCGUGGGGAGCAAACAGGAUUAGAUMCCCUGGUAGUCCACSCCCUAAACGAUGUCAACUAGCUGUUGGGGCCUUCGGGCCUYGGUAGCGCAGCUAACGCGUGAAGUUGACCGCU